Molecule: ribosomal RNA, 589 nt
Filed under: Saccharomyces cerevisiae (brewer's yeast)
Lineage: Eukaryota; Fungi; Ascomycota; Saccharomycetes; Saccharomycetales; Saccharomycetaceae
Description: eukaryotic LSU rRNA
Rfam family: Eukaryotic large subunit ribosomal RNA
Source: RNAcentral
AAGGAAAAGAAACCAACCGGGAUUGCCUUAGUAACGGCGAGUGAAGCGGCAAAAGCUCAAAUUUGAAAUCUGGUACCUUCGGUGCCCGAGUUGUAAUUUGGAGAGGGCAACUUUGGGGCCGUUCCUUGUCUAUGUUCCUUGGAACAGGACGUCAUAGAGGGUGAGAAUCCCGUGUGGCGAGGAGUGCGGUUCUUUGUAAAGUGCCUUCGAAGAGUCGAGUUGUUUGGGAAUGCAGCUCUAAGUGGGUGGUAAAUUCCAUCUAAAGCUAAAUAUUGGCGAGAGACCGAUAGCGAACAAGUACAGUGAUGGAAAGAUGAAAAGAACUUUGAAAAGAGAGUGAAAAAGUACGUGAAAUUGUUGAAAGGGAAGGGCAUUUGAUCAGACAUGGUGUUUUGUGCCCUCUGCUCCUUGUGGGUAGGGGAAUCUCGCAUUUCACUGGGCCAGCAUCAGUUUUGGUGGCAGGAUAAAUCCAUAGGAAUGUAGCUUGCCUCGGUAAGUAUUAUAGCCUGUGGGAAUACUGCCAGCUGGGACUGAGGACUGCGACGUAAGUCAAGGAUGCUGGCAUAAUGGUUAUAUGCCGCCCGCUUGA